This 315-nucleotide ribosomal RNA is filed under the name Triticum aestivum (bread wheat). RNAcentral describes it as "partial small subunit ribosomal RNA". Lineage: Eukaryota; Viridiplantae; Streptophyta; Magnoliopsida; Poales; Poaceae. The record is from RNAcentral.
AUGGACGCUGUGGAGUCCUCGUCACCGUACUCUCCGCCCUCGCUGCGCCACAAGCUGCGGACCACCGUCUGCGCCUGCUUCGGCUCGCCGGGCAGCGGCGGGGAGAGGCCGCACACGGGGGGCGGCAGGAGCAGGUGGAGGCGACGCGUGGCAGCCACGGGGGAGUUCAGGUACGACCCGCUCAGCUACGCGCUCAACUUCGACGACGGCGCCAGCGACGACGACGCGGAGGACGCCGCCUUCAGGCACAGAAACUUCAACUCGCGCCUGCCCCCCUCGCCGACGCCCGCCUCCCGAGCCGUCGCAAUUGCCUGA